This is a non-coding RNA of Pelobates cultripes (western spadefoot toad), 366 nucleotides long. The record is from the annotation of a GenBank genome assembly. NCBI's taxonomy places the organism in Eukaryota, Metazoa, Chordata, Amphibia, Anura, Pelobatidae.
CAGGUUUGCACGGCACUCAUCAGUGAACAGGACUGUUUGAAAAUUAGUCUUCAUGUAUUUUUCUGCCCAAUUCAGCCGUUUCUGCUUGUGAGCAUUGGUUAGUGGUGGCCGAAUAGGUUUAUGCACAGUUGCAAGACUCUGGAGGACUCUACACCUUGAGGUCCGUGGGACUCCAGAGGCACUAGCAGCUUCAGAUAUCUGUUUGCUGCUAUGUAAUGGUAUUUUAGCAGCUGCUCUCUUAAUCCAAUGCAUGGAUCUGGCAGAAAUCUUCCUCAAUGUGCCUUUAUCUGCACAAACCCGUCUGUGCUCUGAAUCAGCCACAAAUCUCUUAAUAGUGCGAUGAUCACGCUUACGUUUUCGUGAAAU